GAUGAAGAACGCAGCGAAUUGCGAUAUGUAAUGUGAAUUGCAGAAUUCAGUGAAUCAUCGAAUCUUUGAACGCACAUUGCGCCCCCUGGCAUUCCGGGGGGCAUGCCUGUUCGAGCGUCAUUACAACCCUCAAGCUCUGCUUGGUAUUGGGCUCUGCCGGUCCCGGCAGGCCUUAAAAUCAGUGGCGGCGCCACUCGGCUUCAAGCGUAGUAAUUCUUCUCGCUUCGGAGACCCGGGUGCGUGCUAGCCAGCAACCCCCAACUUUCUCAGGUUGACCUCGGAUCAGGUAGGGAUACCCGCUGAACUUAAGCAUAUCAAUAAGCGGAGGA
Molecule: unclassified non-coding RNA, 329 nt
Filed under: soil metagenome
Description: partial contains 5.8S ribosomal RNA, internal transcribed spacer 2, and large subunit ribosomal RNA
Rfam family: 5.8S ribosomal RNA (bases 1-120)
Source: RNAcentral